AUGGAUGCGCCCCUGCCUCCGCCUGCUUACGCCGAUGGCGAGCAGACGGACUUCGUCCUCAUCGAGAAAUUCGGCUACCUGGUCGACCGCCAAGACGCCACCACCGCCACCUGCGUCCUGCAGGGCCCCGACAUCAAGGGCAGCAUCAAGGUCACAUUUUGCGCCGCCUGCCCUCCGCGCGUCUCCUACUUUUGCGUCCACGCCACCGAGUACGAGCACGCCGACUUCGACCUCCAGCCGACCAUCCUGGCAACGGAGGGCCCUCUCGUCCUCCUCAGCGUCAUGCUCCCCAGUCGAUCCGACAUCUUCCAUCCCGAGAGGAAAGAGUAUUUCGUCUACCAGGCUGCCACCAAGGACCCCGAGGGAAAGGGGAAGAAGGUAAGCCACCCGUCACUCAAGCACCUCCCUAAUCCUGGCCGCCAUCACGAAUUUGAGGAAGCCUCGGCUGCCCUCUUGCGAACCUGCAGCAAGCAUCGCCAAGCCGCCACCAACCAUGACCACUUGCCCCAUCUCCCCCAUGGAGUCACUCUGCGCCCUCGUAGCUCCAGCCACUUGACCCCGCGCCCUCAUAGCUCCAGUGGAUACAUUCUGCAACACCAUGGAGCCAACAAGGAGGAGCACAACUGCGAGGCAUGCCAAUUCGUCAUCGCCGCAAAACGUUCUGCGCGUGUCAGAAGGACACAACAUGAGCUCUGCCUCUAUCACUCAGAGAAGGAGGCCUGGAGCAUCAAGACGGCCAUAGUAUUGGGGAAUGGUCCAUACAAUCACCAUUGGACAGACAAAGCAAUCACCAUUGGAGGAGAUAAUGGUGUGGUCGCAUGGGUCAAUCUUGCUCGCGAUAUUCUCUUCUGUGACGUGCUUGCUGAAACCCCCAUACUUUGCCCCAUCGAACUGCCCCUGCUGAUCCCGGAGAGCGAGGGAGUUGGGAAAGGUGAUCCAAGAUGCAGUCGGGAUGUUGCCAUUGUCGAUGGUUUCAUCCACUACACCCAGCUGCAGAUUCGAAUUGUUCCGGGCUCGUUCACAGAAGAUGGAACCGUCACAUUCGAUGGCUGGAAAGCUACCAAAUGUAGCAUGGCAAUUGACACCCGUUCGUUGCCUGUGGCUGAGAAAUCUUGGCAGCACACGGGCCUCGAGCUCGAUUCCUCGCAGAUUUCAAAGUCACUGCCAAAUCUGCUGGUCGAUGAGGGUACCAUAGCAUUCGAGAGACUACACAUUGGCCUACCCACCCUGAGCCUGAGCCCGCAAGAAGACGACAUUGUUUAUUUCCUCGCCAAGAUCGACUACCGGGACAUGGAACGCACAGCAUAUGUGCUUGCUGUUGACUUGAGAAAGAAGAUGAUAAAGAGCAUUGCUGAGUUUGGAGCCAAAAACACAAUUGGUUUAGGCCAGGCGUAUGUUGCAAGUAGCCUCUCCAAAUAUCUCAAAAUUGCUCCAGGUACAAAGCAAAAGAAGAAACAAAGAGGGAAGACGCCCCUGGGAUCCUCUAGCAAGAAGAAGCAUCCUGGAGGAGUCUCCACCGUAACUUGUCUGAGUGGCUCAGAAGUGGAUUAUAUGGCUUUAGAAUAA
Molecule: ribosomal RNA, 1566 nt
Filed under: Triticum aestivum (bread wheat)
Lineage: Eukaryota; Viridiplantae; Streptophyta; Magnoliopsida; Poales; Poaceae
Description: partial small subunit ribosomal RNA
Source: RNAcentral